Molecule: ribosomal RNA, 599 nt
Filed under: bacterium enrichment culture clone F61x_D14_T3_F02
Lineage: Bacteria
Description: bacterial SSU rRNA
Rfam family: Bacterial small subunit ribosomal RNA
Source: RNAcentral
ACGGCCCAGACUCCUACGGGAGGCAGCAGUGGGGAAUUUUGGACAAUGGGCGCAAGCCUGAUCCAGCAAUGCCGCGUGAGUGAAGAAGGCCUUCGGGUUGUAAAGCUCUUUUGUCAGGGAAGAAACGGGCCGGGCUAAUACCCUGGUCUAAUGACGGUACCUGAAGAAUAAGCACCGGCUAACUACGUGCCAGCAGCCGCGGUAAUACGUAGGGUGCAAGCGUUAAUCGGAAUUACUGGGCGUAAAGCGUGCGCAGGCGGUUGUGCAAGACCGAUGUGAAAUCCGCGGGCUUAACCUGGGAAUGGCAUUGGUGACUGUACGGCUAGAGUGUGUCAGAGGGGGGUAGAAUUCCACGUGUAGCAGUGAAAUGCGUAGAGAUGUGGAGGAAUACCGAUGGCGAAGGCAGCCCCCUGGGAUAACACUGACGCUCAUGCACGAAAGCGUGGGGAGCAAACAGGAUUAGAUACCCUGGUAGUCCACGCCCUAAACGAUGUCUACUAGUUGUCGGGUCUUCAUUGACUUGGUAACGCAGCUAACGCGUGAAGUAGACCGCCUGGGGAGUACGGUCGCAAGAUUAAAACUCAAAGGAAUUGACGGAA